RNAcentral lists this ribosomal RNA (497 nucleotides) under uncultured bacterium. Its description in RNAcentral is "partial 16S ribosomal RNA". It matches the Rfam family "Bacterial small subunit ribosomal RNA", at positions 28 to 507 of the family's 1533-position model. The record is from RNAcentral.
GACGAACGCUGGCGGCGUGCCUAAUACAUGCAAGUUGAGCGCUGAAGGUUGGUACUUGUACCAACUGGAUGAGCAGCGAACGGGUGAGUAACGCGUGGGGAAUCUGCCUUUGAGCGGGGGACAACAUUUGGAAACGAAUGCUAAUACCGCAUAAAAACUUUAAACACAAGUUUUAAGUUUGAAAGAUGCAAUUGCAUCACUCAAAGAUGAUCCCGCGUUGUAUUAGCUAGUUGGUGAGGUAAAGGCUCACCAAGGCGAUGAUACAUAGCCGACCUGAGAGGGUGAUCGGCCACAUUGGGACUGAGACACGGUCCAAACUCCUACGGGAGGCAGCAGUAGGGAAUCUUCGGCAAUAGACGAAAGUCUGACCGAGCAACGCCGCGUGAGUGAAGAAGGUUUUCGGAUCGUAAAACUCUGUUGGUAGAGAAGAACGUUGGUGAGAGUGGAAAGCUCAUCAAGUGACGGUAACUACCCAGAAAGGGACGGCUAACUACGUG